GAGAUGGACACUGGGCUCAACUCAGCUGGAAGAACUGCAUCCUGCAUAUGUUCUCCUGCUGGAGACUUCCAUGCUGUGAGCUUUGCCUGUGACAAAGCUGUCUUCCUUCUAACAAAGGAAUUACCGUGGCUCUUUUGGAGCAGCAGAUAUACAGCACAAUGGAAGGUACCGAAUGCUUAGGGAAAGAGCAUGAGAAGAGAGACAACUUAUAGAGGUCCUGCUCAUGGCAAGCCCUGCUCAGAGCUGCCUGGCAGUGAGCGGUCUGACCCCUGCCUUCAGCAGGUGCCAGUGCUCCUGAAUUUAUCUCCACCUUCUCUGAGCCCAGAGGUACACAAACAGAUCAGCCCAUUUGCUAAAAGCCUCAGCACUGACACCACGGUAUCCAUGGCAACGCCCCAACCUGCGCAAGCAUCUGCAGACACUUCAAAAUACCAAGAGAUGACAAGGAGUCGCUUCAGACAAUGGAUGUUUAUGGGUGUCACAACCAUCUGAAAUACCUCUCUCUCCACCCAUCAGCUUCCUUGAUUAUAACAUGCUUUAUAUUGUUCUUGCAGCUCCUUUGUCAGAAGCCAUGAUUCAAGGCAGAAUUAAUCCCUGUUUUGAUGUUCAUUUGCUUGUGGCUUUUUUUUUUCAUUUAGAUGACUGGCUGAGGUACCUCAUGGGAAUGAGCACCCCAAGCUCUGCUGUUAACCUUCCUCUUUGAACUGAGUUGGAGUACAGGCUCUUCAAAUGAUAAAAUCCAAAGCUGUAAUUGAAAAAGAAGUGGUUUCUGUCAACUAACUAACAGAGGUGGUUGUGUGAGUGCUCGGCUGAGUGGUGAUUUGCCACAUCACAUUGCAUGAGCUACUGCUUUCCUAUAGUGAUGAUAGAUUUAAUAAGAUCCAGUGAACCAUUUUUGAGGAAUGUUUUAACUGAAGUUUAUCCACCUGUUGGCAUAGCAGAGACUGUGCUACUGUGUUUACAGACGCUGGUCUUCACCAAACCUGAAGGUUGUUCAGCUCUGCUUUCAGGAGAUAACAUUCAGGUGCUCAGGCUGCAUAUCUGAAGCUGGUGGCAGAAAAUGUAUCAGUUCAUUAGACCAGGUGCUUACCUGCAACAACACCUGUAAUUCAGACUAAGUAACUGCAUCUAGAGCACCGAUAAACUGUUAAGUCCUGGGCUGAUGAUGACCAUGGGUUAGGAGCAGUUUUAUAACACAGCAAAACAGCAGGAACUCUUCAGGCAUUCAGGGCCAUCUUCCUCAAAUCAGGGAAGUAUUUCAACCUGACUAAGAUGUGAUGGGUGUGCUUAUCAAUCAGGUUGAGGCCAUUCUCAAAACUAGACUGGACAACUGCAUGUGUUGUUCACACAAAGGCUGAGUGUGAGGCUGAGUUUGAGGUUUGGUAAUGGGGAAGAGCCCAAGCACACUGAUGCUUAACCUCCAGCCACAGCCUCGUUCUGUCUGUAAUGUUUCCACUCUCUUAAGAAGUAAUAUUGGUGUUUUAUUCAUAGAAAGGCAGAAAGAAAUACAAAGCCCAAACCCAAGACGAACUAUGUUGCCCCAUAUUGUGAUGUUAACUUGAUUAAGCUAAUCUGUUUUUAGCUGAUGGUUUAAGCUUCAGGCUUGGAAAAGCAGUAGCAUUUACAUGUUUGAACACAAGAGGAGCAUAUUAAAAAGCCUUAUCAAAAUUCCACAUUAAUAAAACAAGCUAUCAGUGCA
Manacus vitellinus (golden-collared manakin) is the source of this 1699-nucleotide long non-coding RNA. Lineage: Eukaryota; Metazoa; Chordata; Aves; Passeriformes; Pipridae. The record is from Ensembl.